UGCCAGCCGCCGCGGUAAGACGAACCGUACAAACGUUAUUCGGAAUCACUGGGCUUAAAGGGUGCGUAGGCGGCCAGGUAAGUUGGGUGUGAAAUCCCUCGGCUCAACCGAGGAACUGCGCCCAAAACUACUUGGCUUGAGGGAGAUAGAGGUGAGCGGAACUUAGGGUGGAGCGGUGAAAUGCGUUGAUAUCCUAAGGAACACCGGUGGCGAAAGCGGCUCACUGGAUCUCUUCUGACGCUGAGGCACGGAAGCUAGGGUAGCGAACGGGAUUAGAUA
This 279-nucleotide ribosomal RNA is filed under the name uncultured bacterium. RNAcentral describes it as "partial 16S ribosomal RNA". It matches the Rfam family "Bacterial small subunit ribosomal RNA", at positions 506 to 784 of the family's 1533-position model. The record is from RNAcentral.